AACGCACAUUGCGCCCGCCGGCAUUCCGGCGGGCAUGCCUGUCCGAGCGUCAUUUCAACCCUCAGGGUCCCUCCGCCCAGCGCGGAGGGGCCCUGGUGUUGGGGAUCGGCCCGCCCCGCGCGGCGCCGUCCCCUAAAUUCAGUGGCGGUCCCGCCGCAGCCUCCCCUGCGCAGUAGUUACCAACUCGCACUGGAGCGCGGCGCGGCCACGCCGUAAAACCCCCGACUUCUGGAAAGUUGACCUCGGAUCAGGUAGGAAUACCCGCUGAACUUAA
This 274-nucleotide unclassified non-coding RNA is filed under the name uncultured fungus. Its description in RNAcentral is "partial contains 5.8S ribosomal RNA, internal transcribed spacer 2, and large subunit ribosomal RNA". Lineage: Eukaryota; Fungi. The record is from RNAcentral.